UGGGGAAUAUUGCACAAUGGGCGCAAGCCUGAUGCAGCCAUGCCGCGUGUGUGAAGAAGGCCUUCGGGUUGUAAAGCACUUUCAGCGGGGAGGAAGGCGGUGAGGUUAAUAACCUCAUCGAUCGACGUUACCCGCAGAAGAAGCACCGGCUAACUCCGUGCCAGCAGCCGCGGUAAUACGGAGGGUGUAAGCGUUAAUCGGAAUUACUGGGCGUAAAGCGCACGCAGGCGGUCUGUCAAGUCGGAUGUGAAAUCCCCGGGCUCAACCUGGGAACUGCAUUCGAAACUGGCAGGCUAGAGUCUUGGAGAGUGGGGUAGAAUUCCAGGUGUAGCGGUGAAAUGCGUAGAGAUCUGGAGGAAUACCGGUGGCGAAGGCGGCCCCCUGGACAACGACUGACGCUCAGGUGCGAAAGCGUGGGGAGCAAGCAGG
RNAcentral lists this ribosomal RNA (429 nucleotides) under Chloroflexota bacterium. RNAcentral describes it as "Chloroflexi bacterium partial 16S ribosomal RNA". It matches the Rfam family "Bacterial small subunit ribosomal RNA", at positions 355 to 776 of the family's 1533-position model. The record is from RNAcentral. Lineage: Bacteria; Bacillati; Chloroflexota.